UUGACGGGGCCCGCACAAGCGGUGGAGCAUGUGGUUUAAUUCGACGCAACGCGAAGAACCUUACCAGGGCUUGACAUCCCCUGACCGCGUAUGAAAGUACGUUUUCACCCUCGGGUGACAGGGAGACAGGUGGUGCAUGGUUGUCGUCAGCUCGUGUCGUGAGAUGUUGGGUUAAGUCCCGCAACGAGCGCAACCCCUACGUUUAGUUGCUAACGCGUGAAGGCGAGCACUCUAGACGAACUGCCGUUGACAAAACGGAGGAAGUGGGGAUGACGUCAAAUCAUCAUGCCCCUUAUGUUCUGGGCUACACACGUGCUACAAUGGCCGGUACAGACGGACGCAAAGCCGCGAGGUGGAGCAAAUCCUAAAAAGCCGGUCUCAGUUCGGAUCGGAGUCUGCAACUCGACUCCGUGAAGCUGGAUUCGCUAGUAAUCGCGCAUCAGCCAUGGCGCGGUGAAUACGUUCCCGGGCCUU
This 474-nucleotide ribosomal RNA is filed under the name uncultured Bacillus sp. RNAcentral describes it as "bacterial SSU rRNA". It matches the Rfam family "Bacterial small subunit ribosomal RNA", at positions 910 to 1382 of the family's 1533-position model. The record is from RNAcentral. Lineage: Bacteria; Bacillati; Bacillota; Bacilli; Caryophanales; Bacillaceae.